CGAAGGCGGCUCACUGGCGCAGUCCUGACGCUGAGGCACGAAAGCGUGGGGAGCACACAGGAUUAGAUACCCUGGUAGUCCACGCCGUAAACGAUGGGCACUUUGUAGAGGGGGACUCGUUUCCCUCUCUGCCGGAGCAAAUGCGUUAAGUGCCCCGCCUGGGGAGUAUGGUCGCAAGGCUAAAACUCAAAGGAAUCGACGGGGGCUCACACAAGCGGUGGAGGAUGUUGUUCAAUUCGAAGCAACGCGAAGAACCUUACCUGGGUUUGACAUGCAGGGAUUAACCCGGUGAAAGCCGGGGGCUUGCCGUUUAGGUGUAACCUGCACAGGUGCUGCAUGGCUGUCGUCAGUUCGUGUCGUGAGAUGUCGGGUUAAGUCCCAUAACGAGCGAAACCCCUCUCGUCAGUUGCUACCGGGUUAUGCCGGGCACUCUGGCGAUACUGCCGGUCGUAAACCGGAGGAAGGCGGGGACGACGUCAAGUCAUCAUGGCCCUUAUGUCCAGGGCGACAAACGUCCUACAAUGGUCGGUACAAAGGGAAGCAAGACCGCGAGGUGGAGCAAAUCCCCAAAGCCGGCCCUAGUUCAGAUUGGAGGCUGAAAUUCGCCUCCAUGAAGGUGGAAUCGCUAGUAACCGCGCGAUCAGCCACGCUCCGGUGAAUCUGUUCCUGAGCAUUGUACACACCGCCCGUCAAGCCACCCAAGUCGGGGGUAC
Molecule: ribosomal RNA, 713 nt
Filed under: uncultured organism
Description: bacterial SSU rRNA
Rfam family: Bacterial small subunit ribosomal RNA
Source: RNAcentral